UACGUAGGGUGCGAGCGUUAAUCGGAAUUACUGGGCGUAAAGCGUGCGUAGGCGGUUUUGUAAGGCCGGUGUGAAAUCCCCGGGCUUAACCUGGGAAUGGCAUUUGGGACUGCAAGGCUCGAGUGCGGAAGAGGAGACUGGAAUUCCUGGUGUAGCAGUGAAAUGCGUAGAUAUCAGGAGGAACACCGAUGGCGAAGGCAGGUCUCUGGGCUGACACUGACGCUCAUGCACGAAAGCGUGGGGAGCAAACAGG
RNAcentral lists this ribosomal RNA (253 nucleotides) under uncultured bacterium. RNAcentral's name for it is "partial 16S ribosomal RNA". It matches the Rfam family "Bacterial small subunit ribosomal RNA", at positions 524 to 776 of the family's 1533-position model. The record is from RNAcentral.